GCCCUGCUGGCUGUAAAGCGAGGCUGCGGCCGCUGCGGGGAGCCCGGAAUCCGGAGGAGGGCUCCUCUGGGCCCGCGUGCGCUGAUAAAGGAGUCACUGCGCCUCCUCCGGUGUUCGAUCUGUGUUACUUCCCGCUACAUUUGGUUCCUUGGCCGGGAAACGACUCACACGAGCGGGCAUUUGCCACCGGUGAGGGGACCUACGGGGGAUCCGUGGAGCCCCGGGACGGGAGGAAGCGCCCCGGCUGUUUCGGGUCCUUGCCCGUCCAGGGCUCCGCGGACAGCCAUCGGUGAGGUCCGCCCCACCCGGGCCGCCUGGGGAAGCGAACGGAUCCGAGGCCAGGGACGAGCUCUCUUCAGGACUGCUUGCAGGAAUAACACCCUGGCUUCAUCACACCCGGGUGAAAAAGGCAGCAGAUCCCGACACAACGAGGAUCCUGAGGACCCGUCCCAGUUACAGCCCCUAUCAUCAUCAUGACUGCCCCUGCUGAAGCUAAAAAGAGGACCGACCCUUGAUGGGGACCGAGAGGAAGGGACCGUUGCCCAGGAUGGCACCUCACAGCCACAGGACUUCCCAUCACCAUCCUCGGAAUUGGACUGAUAGUAGUGCCCCCAAAAGACUGGAUCAUAUGGGAGCACUUGGGUCUACGGGGGGCAUUCCUUGGACUUGUUUGUAUCUAUGACUAUGUAGUAUGUUUUAUAUAACUGGUGUUGCCGCCAUCCCCAGAGUGCAAAUGUAGUACACCGGGAAGGAAAAUAAUGCUAUGGGGGGUGGGGGAGCUAUAACUUAGAUUGUGUAAAACCACAGAAAUCACAAUGCAGUUGGCGAAACCGAGUAUACGGGACCGGGGUUAUGAGGGGACUAAGGGCUACCAGGCUCAGAAAUGUAGAGGACAUGGUGAGCCUGGCAGGCAGGUAUGCUGGAGCCUCACCUGGCCACUGAGCACCAUGAAUCGGAAGGAAUUUGAGGCAGCUAGAAAGCAGUAAAGCAAGUAGUCGAAAAGCUCAAGAAACAGGAGGUUGCCUAUAAAGGAGUUAGCCUCACAGCCUUCCAAAAAGCCUUACAAAAAAAAGCCCUGCCUCGCUCGUACCAGAAUAUUAGUGACUAUGCCAAAGAAUACUGGGAAAGGCUUCCUAGGAAUCCCAGUUCCUAAUUCAUGGACUCACUCCCAGACUCACCUCAGUCCCAACCAGACUCUCACUCUGGGACCUAUCACAACCAAUGUGUUCCUAGAUUCCAGAGGUUCUAACAUCACUUGCCUAGAGUCCAGAGAAACCUCAUCAGAGCCAGUCUCAGUAGGGACCCUCAAGCCUGGGCUCUGUACCCAGAAUCUUAGUGUCUCCAACAAUAGCAGUCUCUGUGCUAGACAGGGUCCUCCUAUGUGAAAGGGUGGCCUACCGCUGCCUGGGAUGGGAAAAGGCUUGGAGGUCUUCCUCACCCCCAGCAUCAGCCUUAAAACCACCCCGGGGAAACAGUAACCUUACUCCAACCUGAAAGAGAGGUCUGCCCGGACCAGAAAAGCGGCUGGAUUAGCUGUCAUAGCAGGACUUGGUAUUAUGGCUUGAAUAGGCAGAGGGAUAGACCUAGGACUGUCAGCCUCCACCUAUUACAAACUGUCUGAAAGGUUAAAUGCAGAAUGAACAUGGUGGCUGACUCUAGCUACUAUCCAGCAGCAAAUAAAUUCGCUCCCAGAGGUUGCUUUGCAGAAUCAGUGAGCCCUAGACCUUCUAACCGCAAAGGGGGCACUUGUUUGUUCCUAAGAGAGGAAUGUUGUUACUUCGUUAACCAGUCUGGCAUAGUAACACAAAAGGUAAAAGCUACGAGAAAGCAGACAGCGCAGCAAAAAGGAAUUAGAUAACAGGCUGGGAAACACACACACAGGUAUGGACACGAUGGAUUCUGGAUUCUGCCUUUAGUCGGCCCAUCCUUAUCAUCCUCAUAGGGCUAGCCUCUGGCCCUAUGUGAUCCCAGUUAUCAUCCAGGCACUAGAAAACACUGUAAGGAGGAGAGCCACAGCCAAGAUACUGGCACUCCAACAAUUUCACUACCAGAGAAUAAAGCAAUCCGAGGACCCGGAAUGCGGAAGUAUACAUCGUGAUGCAAUUGCCACAACAGCACCCAAUAGCCUCAAAGGGGGGAAAUGACAGGGCACUGUUGCCAUUGCAGCUAUUGGGACAAGCCCCCCCCCCCCCAUCUCAGAAAGCUCCACCACCUUAAAAUAACACGACCUUUUUAGGCUUCCUGCUUCUAAGCUUCUGUAAUGCUGCCUACCGCUCCACGUGCCAAAAUGAGCCUCGCCUGCCCUGCUUGCUCUUAAAGCUAGGCUGCGGCCCGCUGCUGGGAACCCGGAAUUCAGAGGAUUGCUCCUCUGGUCUCGCAGGUGUAAAUAAAGGAGUCACUUCACUUCC
Suricata suricatta (meerkat) is the source of this 2408-nucleotide long non-coding RNA. RefSeq lists it as uncharacterized. The record is from RefSeq and is a predicted model, not a curated record. Lineage: Eukaryota; Metazoa; Chordata; Mammalia; Carnivora; Herpestidae. The transcript has 2 exons.